AUGAGGUGCUUGCACCUUAUCUUAGCGGCGGACGGGUGAGUAAUGCUUAGGAAUCUGCCUAUUAGUGGGGGACAACAUUCCGAAAGGGAUGCUAAUACCGCAUACGUCCUACGGGAGAAAGCAGGGGAUCUUCGGACCUUGCGCUAAUAGAUGAGCCUAAGUCGGAUUAGCUAGUUGGUGGGGUAAAGGCCUACCAAGGCGACGAUCUGUAGCGGGUCUGAGAGGAUGAUCCGCCACACUGGGACUGAGACACGGCCCAGACUCCUACGGAGGCAGCAGUGGGGAAUAUUGGACAUGGGGGGAACCCUGAUCC
This 313-nucleotide ribosomal RNA is filed under the name uncultured Acinetobacter sp. RNAcentral's name for it is "bacterial SSU rRNA". It matches the Rfam family "Bacterial small subunit ribosomal RNA", at positions 71 to 389 of the family's 1533-position model. Lineage: Bacteria; Pseudomonadati; Pseudomonadota; Gammaproteobacteria; Moraxellales; Moraxellaceae. The record is from RNAcentral.